Molecule: long non-coding RNA, 3070 nt
Organism: Peromyscus eremicus (cactus mouse)
Lineage: Eukaryota; Metazoa; Chordata; Mammalia; Rodentia; Cricetidae
Exons: 3
Source: RefSeq, a predicted model, not a curated record
UUAAGUCUGAAUGUGAGUCUGUUUUGCAGAACUAUCAGAAUUUUACUAAAGCUUCCUAACUAUUACCUGCUAAAAGAUGAGAAGCCUUCCUAUUGGAUAAAACUAUGCAGCUGACUCUAUACUCCAUUUCUGUGCAACAGAGAAAAACAGGGCCGGGAAAAUAAUGGCUCACAGGGUAAAGUGCCUGCUGCACAAACGUGAGAACCUGAGUCUGGGACCCCAGCUCCUGUAUAAAGAGCAGAAUUGGUGCUGUGCAUCUAUCACCCCAGCACUGGGGGCUGAAGAGGGGCAUGAGGCAGGUGGCAGUUGCUUGUCAGUCUGUCCAGUGGAAACAGCAAGCAGUAAGUGCCAGGUUCAGAGAGAGCCCCUGCUUCAAAUGGUAAGUCAAAGAAACAACCGAGGAGGACAUUCAGACGUCAGCCUCCGGCCUGCACACAUGCCCUCACAGAUGAACACACUCCUCCUCCAUAUACUCACACACUCAGAUGCUAUAGUGGCCUGCUUGUUUCCAGACUUAGCUGUAAAUUCUUAUCUGGAUAAGUCCUCCUGGUAUCAUGUUAUUGGAAGUAUCUUAUCUCCAAACCUCACGAGUGCCAUCAUCUGCAGGACCCGCUGCGAAUAGUGAAAUAGGAAAACUCAGGAGUCUAUAGAAUGGAACCCUAGUUACCCCAUCCCCUUGGCCGAUUACCUGGUUAUAUGCUCACUGUCCUUUCUUACCUCCACUGCUUCUUGGGAACUGCAACAUCUUGUUAGUCCAGAGGCAGAGGCUAGGUGAGUGAUAUGUCUCAAUCUGAAGUCUAUCUGUAUGUUAAAAACAAUGUUGUGGGGAUAGGGAUGUGGCUUCAUUGGUAGAAUGCCUGCCUGGCAAGCGCAAAGGCUAGACUCCAUCACCAGGAGUGCAUAAACUUGGCAGGAAAUGGAGGCAGGAGGAUCAGGAGCUUCAAAGCCCUCAGGUACAUGGAGAGUUCAAGGCCAGCAAGUGCUGUAUGAGGCCCCAUCUCAAGGAAAAGAGAAGGAACUCUGUACUGCCACAGAUCAGUCAAAUUUAUCUGUUCUCAUGCAGAGCGGAGUUAAAUGAAACAACUCAGCUUUGUUUCACACAGCGCUGAUUUUCAUUUGGACAGUUGGAUGCUUCUCAAUUCUUUCCGUCAUCAGAUAAUUCCUAAGGCCUUAUCCAUAAUGGUUUUGGAGGAAUGUGAGCUAAGGGUGAAGACAUAUGGGCCCCGAAGUCAGGUUGGACACUGAAGUAUUUCUUGAAGAUCCCUCCUUCCUUUUUUACAAUUUUACCUUUGUUCUUCUUAUGUGUCAUAACGCUUUUCUCCAAUUCAUAUUUCUACCACUUCUGUUUAAAAAACAUAAUCACUAUUCCCUGUGCUUAGCCUGGUACUUGCUCUCGAGUAUAACCACCCAAAUUGAUGUUCUGUCUCUCACUGUGAUUUCUCCACAGGAGACACGGGACUAGUCACAGGGACAGUGCUAUCCUUUCACAUUCCACUGAGUUUCACACCUGCAAGGCAGCCCUGCUAUUAUCUCUCUACAGGACUUGUCUCUGUAUUAGUUUUCUAUUACUACCUAGGCUUAGUGCACACCUUAUCUCUUGUGAGUCAGAAGUCCAUACUCAUCUGAGCUACACUGUCUUCUCAGUAUCCCACAUGACUCCUACGGAAGUGUCAGAGGCAGCAGGAGGGGAAGAUUUGCUUCCAACCUGACUCAAGUUUCUACCAGAAUAAAUUCCCUCAUAGCUGUGGGACCCAAGCCUCCCAAGGUGUUGCUCACUGUCCCUGGAUUGUGCUUUUCUCUUGGGGGUUCCACUUGGAUCCCUACCACAUGGUCCCUUCAGAAGUCCUCUCACAUUUCCAUUCUCCUAGUUAGCACCUUUAGAGAUGUGACUAGAUGUGGCCCAACAAGAUAACUCUUUUGUCAUAUACAUAAUAUGGUCACGGGAGUGACAUCUAACUAGAUCCUUGGAUACCACCUAUGCUCAGUGGAGAGAAUUAACUAUAAAAGAGCAAAGUCAGGCUGGGCAGUGGUGGUGCAUGCCUUUAAUCCCGCACUCAUGAGGCAGAGGCAGGUGGACCUGUGGGUUCGAGGCCAGCCUGGGCUAUAGAGUGAGUUCCAGGAAAGGCUCCAAAGCUACACAGAGAAACCUUGUGUCAAAAAAAACCAAGAAAAAUAAAAAAGCAAAGUCUCAAGAGUCAUAUUCAAACCCUGUUGACUAUAUCUUCUCUUUAUUCUCUGCUGGGCAAAGUACCAUUGAUGAUCUAGGAAUUAAAACACACAUCCUGCUUACGCUGUCCUGAUACAUGCAGGCUGAGGUUCUAGGCACGGUUCCACGUUUGUCACGAUACCAUUACAUUUAUCACCUCCUAUUCCUUCUAUCUACAUACAUGGUGGACUACGUCAAGACGUAAGAAAUUGAAAUACUGUGGGAUUCUCAAUUUCCUUCUGCAUACUCAGAUCCCGCAUUCUAUGUCUUGGGUGUUAAAACUCCUUUCUUUGGUUUGCAGAGCCUGAAGGGGAGCUGUGAGGGUUGUUUAGCAGAAGGGUUGUUUGGAGGCUCACUACCAAAGGAAGAGUAAGUUCCCUGCACUGGGUAUGCUACCCUAUAUGCUCAAAGCUCAUUCCUUUCCUGCUAGAGCCAAGGACACACUGCAGCUCCAAAUACGAAGUAACAGAACGGCUCACAUGCACCAGGCAUCUGGAGUCUCUCAUAAAGGUUGCUACCCCGUGAGAAAACGUCCUCAAGAAUGGGCUAGAAGCACAUCGCUGAAAAGUGCUUGAACCAUCAUGCGCAGUUCAUCUUGGAUUCUCUUGAAGGGCCUCGUUGAUAUCCAGCUGGCAGAUCCUCAGUCUGUUGUCAAGAGGCUCCCAACAUAAUCAGCAUCUCCUGCAGCUGCUGACAGACACAAUGAGUGGAUGAACCAAAAGGUUAAUGGAAGGGGACCGGUGAAUCCAGUUUGACCUGGAGUAAAGGAAACAAGGCCAGAAGUUGAGCAAGAGUGACAUGCAAGCAGAGAGUCAAAAGGACUUUAAAGGGGCUGGACACAAAGUCAGGAGAAAAGAAUGCAAG